Molecule: long non-coding RNA, 740 nt
Organism: Cornus florida
Lineage: Eukaryota; Viridiplantae; Streptophyta; Magnoliopsida; Cornales; Cornaceae
Exons: 2
Source: RefSeq, a predicted model, not a curated record
CGGACCAAUGAUCCCAAAUUGUACACGCGCAAACCUUUUUAUCCAGAGAGAAUAGAAAAGAACCACCUAUUCAUUAGGUUGUUUACAAAUCCCCCUUUUUCUCAUAUUUACAAGCCUUUGCUUUUCUUUUUCUUUUUGAAUUUUUUUUUUCUUCUUUUUCCCCUGACAGAGACAAGAGAGUUUGUGUUGUGUGUGUCCACUAGCCAUACCAACACAUCUUUCUAAGUUUUAACCAAAAUUCCCAAAACCAAAGUCACUUGAAUAGAAAGCCCCUUUUACUCUCUCAAUCAGUACUCCCAUUCUCAAUAUUUCAAAGAAAAUGCAGUCCAUCUUAAACCACCAAACCAGCUUCGGCCUUCCUCUCUGCCUCUCAGGGAUCACACAUCCUCUCACUCUUUCUCAAGAGAUGGCAGAUCAUGAACGCAGAAGGGAGGCCAUGAAAAGGCAAAAAUCACAAGCCAGAGAGGGUCUGCAGGCAAAUCAAGGGGUGGGUGUUGAGAGAAAUCAUGAGGGAGAAAUUGAAGUUGAUGGAGAUCUGGCAUGUAUUGUUCAUGAUCUGUCAUACAUGUGUUUGGCUUCUACAGCAAAAGCUGCAUAGCCUUUACAUACUUAAUUGCUUUUAUGGACUUCCUUUAAUUAUCUCUCUAUUGUACAUCAAUUUAUGUUGGAUUUCUCACUAUUGGAUAUCUAUUGUAGAUUUCUUUAAAUUAUUCAUGAUCUUGACUAGGGGUGUUCUUGUU